UGUAAUAUGCCUGACAAAAGGAUUAUUUUGAUGGAAUAAAUUAUGUAUUUAUACUAUUACAA
RNAcentral lists this transfer RNA (62 nucleotides) under Uroctonus mordax (western forest scorpion). RNAcentral describes it as "tRNA-Ile". Lineage: Eukaryota; Metazoa; Arthropoda; Arachnida; Scorpiones; Chactidae. The record is from RNAcentral.